RNAcentral lists this ribosomal RNA (253 nucleotides) under uncultured bacterium. RNAcentral's name for it is "partial 16S ribosomal RNA". It matches the Rfam family "Bacterial small subunit ribosomal RNA", at positions 524 to 776 of the family's 1533-position model. The record is from RNAcentral.
UACAGAGACUGCAAGCGUUAUUCGGAUUCACUGGGCGUAAAGCGUGCGCAGGCGGUUGUGCAAGACAGAUGUGAAAUCCCCGGGCUUAACCUGGGAACUGCAUUUGUGACUGCACGGCUAGAGUGUGUCAGAGGGGGGUAGAAUUCCACGUGUAGCAGUGAAAUGCGUAGAUAUGUGGAGGAAUACCGAUGGCGAAGGCAGCCCCCUGGGAUAACACUGACGCUCAUGCACGAAAGCGUGGGGAGCAAACAGG